RNAcentral lists this ribosomal RNA (450 nucleotides) under Microbacterium sp. 220(2010). Its description in RNAcentral is "bacterial SSU rRNA". It matches the Rfam family "Bacterial small subunit ribosomal RNA", at positions 79 to 543 of the family's 1533-position model. Lineage: Bacteria; Bacillati; Actinomycetota; Actinomycetes; Micrococcales; Microbacteriaceae. The record is from RNAcentral.
CUUGCUCUGUGCGAUCAGUGGCGAACGGGUGAGUAACACGUGAGCAACCUACCCCUGACUCUGGGAUAAGCGCUGGAAACGGCGUCUAAUACUGGAUAUGUGACUCGACCGCAUGGUCUGUGUCUGGAAAGAAUUUCGGUUGGGGAUGGGCUCGCGGCCUAUCAGCUUGUUGGUGAGGUAAUGGCUCACCAAGGCGUCGACGGGUAGCCGGCCUGAGAGGGUGACCGGCCACACUGGGACUGAGACACGGCCCAGACUCCUACGGGAGGCAGCAGUGGGGAAUAUUGCACAAUGGGCGCAAGCCUGAUGCAGCAACGCCGCGGGAGGGAUGACGGCCUUCGGGUUGUAAACCUCUUUUAGAGGGAAGAAGCGAAAGUGACGGYACCUGCAGAAAAAGCGCCGGCUAACUACGUGCCAGCAGCCGCGGUAAUACGUAGGGYGCAAGCYUUA